RNAcentral lists this ribosomal RNA (898 nucleotides) under uncultured bacterium. RNAcentral's name for it is "bacterial SSU rRNA". It matches the Rfam family "Bacterial small subunit ribosomal RNA", at positions 11 to 915 of the family's 1533-position model. The record is from RNAcentral.
GUUUGAUCCUGGCUCAGGAUGAACGCUAGCGGCAGGCUUAACACAUGCAAGUCGAGGGGUAUAGGUUUUCGGACCUAGAGACCGGCGCACGGGUGCGUAACGCGUAUGCAAUCUACCUUUUGCAGAGGGAUAGCCCAGAGAAAUUUGGAUUAAUGCCCCAUAGUAUAUAUCAUUCGCAUGUUUGAUAUAUUAAAGUUCCAACGGUAAAAGAUGAGCAUGCGUCCCAUUAGUUAGUUGGUAAGGUAACGGCUUACCAAGACAAUGAUGGGUAGGGGUCCUGAGAGGGAGAUCCCCCACACUGGUACUGAGACACGGACCAGACUCCUACGGGAGGCAGCAGUGAGGAAUAUUGGACAAUGGGCGCAAGCCUGAUCCAGCCAUGCCGCGUGCAGGAAGACGGUCCUAUGGAUUGUAAACUGCUUUUGUACGGGAAGAAACACUCCUACGUGUAGGAGCUUGACGGUACCGUAAGAAUAAGGAUCGGCUAACUCCGUGCCAGCAGCCGCGGUAAUACGGAGGAUCCAAGCGUUAUCCGGAAUCAUUGGGUUUAAAGGGUCCGUAGGCGGUUUAGUAAGUCAGUGGUGAAAGCCCAUCGCUCAACGAUGGAACGGCCAUUGAUACUGCUAGACUUGAAUUACUAGGAAGUAACUAGAAUAUGUAGUGUAGCGGUGAAAUGCUUAGAUAUUACAUGGAAUACCAAUUGCGAAGGCAGGUUACUACUAGUGGAUUGACGCUGAUGGACGAAAGCGUGGGGAGCGAACAGGAUUAGAUACCCUGGUAGUCCACGCCGUAAACGAUGGAUACUAGCUGUUGGGCGCAAGUUCAGUGGCUAAGCGAAAGUGAUAAGUAUCCCACCUGGGGAGUACGUUCGCAAGAAUGAAACUCAAAGGAAUUGACG